UGGGCCCGGACCAGUUAGAGGGUCUUCUUCUUUCCCCGCACGACUCGCUCGCCCGCACACCGGCCACGGGGGAAUCCGGGGGUGGUUGUGCUAGUCAUGCAUACCGGACCUCCCCUUGCCCCUCCGAUUCGCUCCACGCCAGCACCUAGGAACUUGGGCCAGAGCUUGGUGUUCCGCUAUUCGCAACCGCAAAGGAGAGCUUGAAGACACCACCGCACCCGUAUUUGGUCUGUGGUGCCGUUCGGCUCCCCGGAUGUGGGUAGAGCGCAUCGUUUGCGAGUGAGGGACCUGGACAGGGCGACUCCAGGGGCGGUGAACCGGUGAGUCUCUGUUAAUUGCUCGCUGACGACACAUCGCCACCGCGGGUCUGCGCUACACCGUGGAUAGGGCCUCGCAUCGCGUGAUUCAUGGUAAGGACUCCUUCCCCCGACUCGCGUUCAUCUCUAUUUCGUGUAGCCUCGUCCGAAUCUGGGUUUUGGGGGCACCAGUGCCAUUGGUGGCUUCCGCUGGCCAUGGCCGCCGCCGGGGUGGGUCUGCGAUGUGGCCUGUGCCACCAGGAGGGCAGGGAUGAUGUCUAGGUCGCUUGAUGCGAAAGCAAGGGCCAAGAUUAGAUCUCCGCA
This 620-nucleotide long non-coding RNA is filed under the name Zea mays. RNAcentral describes it as "drought responsive lncRNA". The record is from RNAcentral. Lineage: Eukaryota; Viridiplantae; Streptophyta; Magnoliopsida; Poales; Poaceae.